RNAcentral lists this unclassified non-coding RNA (209 nucleotides) under soil metagenome. RNAcentral's name for it is "partial contains 5.8S ribosomal RNA, internal transcribed spacer 2, and large subunit ribosomal RNA". The record is from RNAcentral.
AACCUAGCACACCUGCGGUGUGUACCUGCGGAAGGAUCAUUACCGAGUUUACAACUCCCAAACCCCUGUGAACAUACCUAUACGUUGCCUCGGCGGAUCAGCCCGCGCCCUGUAAAAAGGGACGGCCCGCCCGAGGACCCUAAACUCUGUUUUUAGUGGAACUUCUGAGUAAAACAAACAAAUAAAUCAAAACUUUUAGCAAUGGAUCU